CCUACGGGUGGCAGCAGUGGGGAAUAUUGCACAAUGGGGGAAACCCUGAUGCAGCGACGCCGCGUGAGUGAAGAAGUAUUUCGGUAUGUAAAGCUCUAUUAGCAGGGAAGAAGCAAGACGGUACCUGACUAAGAAGUCCCGGCUAACUACGUGCCAGCAGCCGCGGUAAUACGUAGGGGGCAAGCGUUAUCCGGAUUUACUGGGUGUAAAGGGAGCGUAGACGGUAUGGCAAGUCUGAAGUGAAAGCCCAGGGCUUAACCCUGGGACUGCUUUGGAAACUGGUAGACUAGAGUGCUGGAGAGGUAAGUGGAAUUCGUGGUGUAGCGGUGAAAUGCGUAGAUAUUAGGAAGAACACCGAUGGCGAAGGCAGCCUACUGGACUGCGACUGACGUUGAGGCCCGAAAGCGUGGGGAGCAAACAGGAUUAGAUACCCGUGUAGUC
RNAcentral lists this ribosomal RNA (441 nucleotides) under uncultured bacterium. RNAcentral's name for it is "partial 16S ribosomal RNA". It matches the Rfam family "Bacterial small subunit ribosomal RNA", at positions 338 to 795 of the family's 1533-position model. The record is from RNAcentral.